UAGAAGUGGACGCCUGCGGUUGAGAAGGA
This 29-nucleotide small RNA is filed under the name Bombyx mori (domestic silkworm). RNAcentral describes it as "piRNA piR-bmo-2001410". The record is from RNAcentral. Lineage: Eukaryota; Metazoa; Arthropoda; Insecta; Lepidoptera; Bombycidae.